This 324-nucleotide ribosomal RNA is filed under the name uncultured eukaryote. RNAcentral's name for it is "partial 18S ribosomal RNA". It matches the Rfam family "Eukaryotic small subunit ribosomal RNA", at positions 1470 to 1796 of the family's 1831-position model. The record is from RNAcentral.
CCCUUAGAUGUUCUGGGCCGCACGCGCGCUACACUGAUGCAUUCAACGAGUUUCUUCCUGGUCCGAGAGGAAUGGGUAACCUUUUGAAAGUGCAUCGUGAUAGGGAUAGACUAUUGCAAUCAUUGGUCUUCAACGAGGAAUUCCUAGUAGACGUAGUUCAUCAGACUGCAUCGAUUACGUCCCUGCCCUUUGUACACACCGCCCGUCGCUCCUACCGAUUGAAUGCUCAGGUGAGCCAUUCGGACUUUCAUCAUGCUGGUUUCCAGUUUUGAUGAAGGAAAGUCUUGCGAACCUUAUCAUUUAGAGGAAGGAGAAGUCGUAACA